Molecule: ribosomal RNA, 284 nt
Filed under: Clostridioides difficile
Lineage: Bacteria; Bacillati; Bacillota; Clostridia; Peptostreptococcales; Peptostreptococcaceae
Description: partial 16S ribosomal RNA
Rfam family: Bacterial small subunit ribosomal RNA
Source: RNAcentral
UUUUAUUUGAGAGUUUGAUCCUGGCUCAGGAUGAACGCUGGCGGCGUGCCUAACACAUGCAAGUUGAGCGAUUUACUUCGGUAAAGAGCGGCGGACGGGUGAGUAACGCGUGGGUAACCUACCCUGUACACACGGAUAACAUACCGAAAGGUAUGCUAAUACGGGAUAAUAUAUUUGAGAGGCAUCUCUUGAAUAUCAAAGGUGAGCCAGUACAGGAUGGACCCGCGUCUGAUUAGCUAGUUGGUAAGGUAACGGCUUACCAAGGCGACGAUCAGUAGCCGACC